GACGAACGCUGGCGGCGUGCUUAACACAUGCAAGUCGAACAGGAGUAUCAAAGAAGCUUGCUUUUAAGAUACUUUAGUGGCGGACGGGUGAGUAACGCGUGAGGAGCUGUCCUAUGCAGGGGGACAACAGUUGGAAACGACUGCUAAUACCCCAUAAGCCGAGAGGUAAAAGGAUUUAUCCGGCAAAGGAGGUACUCGCGUCCUAUCAGCUAGUAGGUGGGGUAACGGCUCACCUAGGCGAAGACGGGUAGCCGGCCUGAGAGGGCGAACGGCCAAACUGGAACUGAGAUACGGUCCAGACUCCUACGGGAGGCAGCAGUGGGGAAUAUUGGGCAAUGGGGGAAACCCUGACCCAGCGACGCCGCGUGGGUGAAGAAAUCCUUCGGGAUGUAAAGCCCUGUUGUAUGGGAAGAGCAGAAGACGGUACCAUACGAGGAAGCACCGGCUAACUACGUGCCAGCCGCCGCGGUAA
This 472-nucleotide ribosomal RNA is filed under the name uncultured bacterium. RNAcentral describes it as "partial 16S ribosomal RNA". It matches the Rfam family "Bacterial small subunit ribosomal RNA", at positions 28 to 523 of the family's 1533-position model. The record is from RNAcentral.